This 216-nucleotide ribosomal RNA is filed under the name uncultured fungus. Its description in RNAcentral is "partial 18S ribosomal RNA". It matches the Rfam family "Eukaryotic small subunit ribosomal RNA", at positions 40 to 274 of the family's 1831-position model. The record is from RNAcentral. Lineage: Eukaryota; Fungi.
AAGAUUAAGCCAUGCGUGUCUAAGUGUAAGCAAUCUAUACAGUGAAACUGCGAAUGGCUCAUUGAAUCAGUUAUCGUUUAUUGAUAGUGCAUUACUACAAGGAUAACUGUGGUAAUUAGAGCCAAUACAUGCGUAAAGUCCCAUUUGGGAUGUAUUUAUUAGAUAAAAACCAAUGUCUUCGGACUUUUUGGUGCUUCAUAAUAACACCUAGCGCAU